CCUACGGGUGACAGCAGUGAGGAAUAUUGGUCAAUGGCCGGAAGGCUGAACCAGCCAUGCCGCGUGAAGGUCAGUGCCCUAUGGGCGUUAAACUUCUUUUGUGCGGGAGCAAUAAUGGUCACGUGUGGCCAGACGAGAGUACCGUACGAAUAAGCAUCGGCUAACUCCGUGCCAGCAGCCGCGGUAAUACGGGGGAUGCAAGCGUUAUCCGGAUUUAUUGGGUUUAAAGGGUGCGUAGGCUGUGAGGUAAGUCAGCGGUGAAAUGCCCCCGCUCAACGGGGUGAAGUGCCAUUGAUACUGCCUGGCUGGAAUGCGGAUGCCGUGGGAGGAAUGUGUGGUGUAGCGGUGAAAUGCAUAGAUAUCACACAGAACACCGAUUGCGAAGGCAUCUCACGAAGCCGCGAUUGACGCUGAUGCACGAAAGCGUGGGUAUCAAACAGGAUUAGAUACCCGAGUAGUC
This 460-nucleotide ribosomal RNA is filed under the name uncultured bacterium. Its description in RNAcentral is "partial 16S ribosomal RNA". It matches the Rfam family "Bacterial small subunit ribosomal RNA", at positions 338 to 795 of the family's 1533-position model. The record is from RNAcentral.